GACAGAGGUGCCAAGCGUUAGGCGGAAUCACUGGGCUUAAAGCGUGUGUAGGCGGAAUUGUAAGUACCUUGUGAAAUCCCACGGCUCAACCGUGGAACUGCUCGGUAUACUGCUUUUCUUGAGCCACUUAGGGGCUGUCGGAACAAACGGUGGAGCGGUGAAAUGCGUAGAUAUCUGGAGGAACACCGGUGGCGAAGGCGACAUCCUGGACCGGUAUUGACGCUGAGGCGCGAAAGCCAGGGGAGCAAACAGG
Molecule: ribosomal RNA, 253 nt
Filed under: uncultured bacterium
Lineage: Bacteria
Description: partial 16S ribosomal RNA
Rfam family: Bacterial small subunit ribosomal RNA
Source: RNAcentral